Non-coding RNA from Zootermopsis nevadensis, 383 nucleotides. The record is from RefSeq and is a predicted model, not a curated record. NCBI's taxonomy places the organism in Eukaryota, Metazoa, Arthropoda, Insecta, Blattodea, Termopsidae.
ACCGUAGUGGUUCAUUCCAGCCUGUACUUGUAAGUUGUGGGUUCACUGGCAUAUCGGAACUUAACACGCCCGAAGAAGACGUACGUACAUGGCAGCUACACAAAUACACCCCAAAGAAAGCGGCGUCAUUAGCCUCGAAUACGAUUGUAUCAGCAUCAGAAUAACCACACACAAGCCAAAAGCUGAAGAAGUGUAAAAAUGUGCACCAGAUGGUACGAGAGAAAUGGGGACUGCUUCCAUCACUUUUUAUAGAGUGGCCGCUAGGAACUAAGAACAGGAAUCCGAUUGCCAGCGCCAGCCAUGGGGGCGCCGAAGUCCGCUGCAGUCCCCACAUGCUUGACUCAGGCGACCGGUGCUGAAUGCUCCAUGUUGCUUCCAGAGUC